RNAcentral lists this ribosomal RNA (300 nucleotides) under uncultured Bacillus sp. RNAcentral's name for it is "bacterial SSU rRNA". It matches the Rfam family "Bacterial small subunit ribosomal RNA", at positions 496 to 795 of the family's 1533-position model. The record is from RNAcentral. Lineage: Bacteria; Bacillati; Bacillota; Bacilli; Caryophanales; Bacillaceae.
GAGACGUUGUGUGCAGAAGCCGCGGUAAGACCAGUGGUGCUGGCGUUGUUUGGAAGGUGUGGGCGUCAAGGUCGUGUAGGCGGGGUCGACAGUUGGGCGUGAAAUUCCCGGGCUGAACCUGGUGGCGGCUCUCAAUGCAUCCAGGCUUGAGGGGUGAAGAGGGUCGUGGAAUUCCCAGUGUAGAGGUGAAAUUCGUAGAUAUUGGGAAGAACACCGGUGGCGAAGGCGGCGACCUGGUCCUUUACUGACGCUGAGGCGCGAAAGCGUGGGGAGCAAACAGGAUUAGAUACCCCUGUAGUC